AGCAGGAGGAGGAAAACUGAAGGCUGAGGCAGGACUGUGACUGAAGUCCAGAAGAUGAGUGUUUGUGUGGAGGAAGAAGAGGACAGAGCAGAAUGUCCAGGAUCCAGCUGUCUGUCUAUGAAGAGAAAAAUGUCCAGACUGUUGGAUCCUGCAGACUUCAGUAAUGAACCUGGCCCCUUAGACACAAAACCACCUAAAGUCCAGAAAGUGUUUGUGUGGAGGAAAAGGAGGACAGAGCAGAGUCUC
Molecule: long non-coding RNA, 246 nt
Organism: Toxotes jaculatrix (banded archerfish)
Lineage: Eukaryota; Metazoa; Chordata; Actinopteri; Toxotidae
Exons: 3
Source: RefSeq, a predicted model, not a curated record